RNAcentral lists this long non-coding RNA (1506 nucleotides) under Apteryx haastii (Great spotted kiwi). Its description in RNAcentral is "lncRNA (ENSAHAG00000002450.1)". The record is from RNAcentral. Lineage: Eukaryota; Metazoa; Chordata; Aves; Apterygiformes; Apterygidae.
GGCACCAGGCGGGAGCACCCAGAAGGGCCCUGGCGACUCUCCUGGCCCUCCCGCACACCUACGCCUCCCCCAACUGGCCCAGCACGCAGCCGCUGACCUCGCAUGCCGCACAGGCCCCCUUCGCACGCCAAGGCUGCUGUCAUCGCCUGCRCACCACCAAGCCGCACGGCCCCGGCAUGCCCUCGGGAGCUGAGCGCCACCGCCAUGCUCGUGCGGCAUGCAAAGCAAAGCAAAGCAGGAAGGAGACCAUCAGUGACUGCUGAUGGGCUCCAGCCCCCGAGAAACAAGCCCCCCGUCACCCAAAGUGCCCGGCCCCAGGGGAUGCCCUUUUUGCUGCCCUGGGGCACUCCAUGCAGAUGCCCAAGGCACCAGGCAGGACCACCCAAAAGGGUCCUCAGGUUUCUCCCAGCCCUGCCCAUCACCCUCAACCCUCCGGGGCCCACCAUACGGCUGCUUACAUCUGACACAGCACAGGACCCCUCCACACGCCAACACCGGUGCCCUCGCCUGUGCCGCAUGAGCCUGGCAUGUCCUUGGGAGGUGCUCAGCGCCGCGCUCGGCCGCCGCACAAACCAAAGCAAAGGAGGAGAGAAGUUGCCGUGAGGAAAUSCCCACAGCUCCCUCUGCCCCAAUGCCCAGAGACAGCUCAGCGCCCCCCACACUACCGCAGGCCGAUGACGGUGCUGGGCCCCCCGCCAGCACGCCGGCUGCCCAGCAGGACACCAAGCCUGCAGCCAGGGCAGCCUCCCUCAACGCCGACCAGAACACGGAACACAGAAUAUGGAACUCGCUGCCACCCCGCGCAACGCUGACAAUGGCCUCAGCAACAGGCACCAUCUCCCCAGCAAGAGGGACAAGCACCCCAGCCCCAGACGCACCCACCCCACCACUGGCACGCCAACAAGCAUGGCACAAGGGCUGCGCACAGGCACAAGGCCCCGCUCACAAACCCGGACACUGCUCCCGCCUCACCACACCUCUAUAGUCCUCUCCAGCACUUGAGAUUUGCUCUUGCAGAGAAGUUGUCUUCAGCCCCUCCUCUUUUCUUGCGUGCCUAGUCCAGAAAACAAUAGCUGGCUUUUGGCACUUACUCUUUUUUACAAGCUGACACCUUGCCUCCUCAGACAUUGGCACAAAAAUCACCCUSCCCCUGACAAGGUUCACACACCAUCAAGGAAGCAGCCACAACUUCUCUUGGGCCCCUCCGGCUUUCUUGCAUGCCUACUCCAGUYAAACAAGAACUGUAACGCUGAGGUUCAGUGUUUUGCAAUGAUGUUCGUCCUUCAAGUUAGGAACAUCUUGGAAAUACACUAUGGGGCUGGGAGCGCCCACUGCUGAGCAGAGCGCCAGCAAGAGCUGUCCCUCCAGUGCUCGUCUCCCCAGUGGCUCCCCGUCCAGACACCCUUUCUCAGCAGCGGUGGGGAGCGGGUGCGGAGCGGCCCGCGAGCCCCGUGAGCCUUGACACACCUCCUUGCCGUGGUCACAUGAAGGUUGGCAGCGUGGUGA